CUGGAAUCAGCCCAUGGGGUCCUCGGGCCUGCCAAGCAAAGGAAGAGGCACGACUCCCCUCCCAGUCUGGGACAAGAGGGCUCAGGAGGUGCCCCCAGCUCUGCCAGCCUUCAUCUGCCACCCUUGGACUGGGUGGAGCUUGUGGAGGCCCUGGGCCGCCCGUCGAUGCCUCCCAUUGGGGGUCGCCCUCCCAGUGCCCAGUUCCCUGCUGGGCACUCUGGGUUCCUGCUACCUUUCUUGGGGUGCCCCAUGGCCGGGUCCCCCUCCCCAGCCUCUUCAGGGCUGGAAACAGGAACGUGCUGUGCUUGGUCCUGAGCCGGGUGGGAGUUCUCUGUGGGUCCCAGCCCCUCCCUGCUCCAUCUCCUGGUCUGAGGGGCAUCCCCGGACAAAAGAUGUCCAGUGCUAAAACUGAAUAGUCCUAGGCAGGCUGGGAUGGCUGGUCACCCUGCCCCCAGGCCACCUGGCUGUCAACCUCCCAGCAGCAGGGUCCUCAGGCUGGGCCUGGGUCCCCAACCACUGCAGGAGCCCUGGCCAGGCCGUGUGCAACUUCGUGUGUGACUGCAGGGACUGCUCAGAUGAGGCCCAGUGUGGUUACCACGGGGCCUCGCCCACCCUGGGCGCCCCCUUCGCCUGUGACUUCGAGCAGGACCCCUGCGGCUGGCGGGACAUUAGUACCUCAGGCUACAGCUGGCUCCGAGACAGGGCAGGGGCCGCACUGGAGGGUCCUGGGCCUCACUCAGACCACACACUGGGCACCGACUUGGGUGAGGCCAGGGCAAGUCUCUGUGCGCCCCUGUCCCAAUACCCUCCUUGCUCCCUGCCCCGUCUCCUGACCUCUCACCUGCGCCAGGCUGGUACAUGGCCGUUGGAACCCACCGAGGGAAAGAGGCAUCCACCGCAGCCCUGCGCUCGCCAACCCUGCGAGAGGCAGCCUCCUCUUGCAAGCUGAGGCUCUGGUACCACGCGGCCUCUGGAGGUGCACCCUGGACCCCCAAGGCUCGUGGGGGGUGCCCAAGGGGAGGGCGGGUGGGCAGCUGGGGACAAGCAGGGCCGCAGCUGCCCUGGGACCCCUGACAUUGCAGAUGUGGCUGAACUGCGGGUGGAGCUGACCCAUGGCGCAGAGACCCUGACCCUGUGGCAGAGCACAGGGCCCUGGGGCCCUGGCUGGCAGGAGUUGGCAGUGACCACAGGCCGCAUCCGGGGUGACUUCCGAGUGACCUUCUCUGCCACCCGAAAUGCCACCCACAGGGGCGCUGUGGCUCUAGAUGACCUAGAGUUCUGGGACUGUGGUCUGCCCACCCCCCAGGCCAACUGUCCCCCGGGACACCACCACUGCCAGAACAAGGUCUGCGUGGAGCCCCAGCAGCUGUGCGACGGGGAAGACAACUGCGGGGACCUGUCUGAUGAGAACCCACUCACCUGUGGCCGCCACAUAGCCACCGACUUUGAGACAGGCCUGGGCCCAUGGAACCGCUCGGAAGGCUGGUCCCGGAACCACCGCGCUGGUGGUCCUGAGCGCCCCUCCUGGCCACGCCGUGACCACAGCCGGAACAGUGCACAGGGCUCCUUCCUGGUCUCCGUGGCCGAGCCUGGCACCCCUGCUAUACUCUCCAGCCCCGAAUUCCAAGCCUCAGGCACCUCCAACUGCUCGCUGGUCUUCUAUCAGUACCUGAGUGGGUCUGAGGCUGGCUGCCUCCAGCUGUUCCUGCAGACUCUGGGGCCCGGCGCCCCCCGGGCCCCCGUCCUGCUGCGGAGGCGCCGAGGGGAGCUG
This 1771-nucleotide long non-coding RNA is filed under the name Homo sapiens (human). RNAcentral's name for it is "HSALNT0156968". The record is from RNAcentral. Lineage: Eukaryota; Metazoa; Chordata; Mammalia; Primates; Hominidae.